AGAAUCAACGCUGGCGGCGUGCCUAACACAUGCAAGUCGAACGAGAAAGUGGAGCAAUCCAUGAGUAAAGUGGCGCACGGGUGAGUAACACGUGACUAACCUACCUUUUAGUGGGGGAUAACCUAGGGAACCUGGGCUAAUACCGCAUAACACCUACGGGUCAAAGGAGCAAUUCGCUUCAGGAGGGGUCGCGGCAGAUUAGCUAGUUGGCGGGGUAAUGGCCCACAAGGCAGUGAUCUGUA
This 242-nucleotide ribosomal RNA is filed under the name uncultured bacterium. Its description in RNAcentral is "partial small subunit ribosomal RNA". It matches the Rfam family "Bacterial small subunit ribosomal RNA", at positions 26 to 285 of the family's 1533-position model. The record is from RNAcentral.